AAUCGCUUCUUCCGGCGAGCUUCCGGCGAACUUCCGUCGAUCAUCCGAUGAACCCUCGGUGAUGCUCCUGCGGACUUCCAGAAAACUCCUGGACUUUAGAUGAUUCACUUGGCAAGUUUCGACGAGCUUCUUUGGCAAGCUCAUGGACUUCUUGGAUUUGUUCCCGCAGAACCUCCGACGACUGUCCGAACUUCCGUUGAACUCUCGAACUCCCAACGUGAUCAUUGUCUUGACUCCGGCGUAACUCCUGCUGCAUAUCUUACUUUCAUCGUAGUUAAUCCUGCAC
RNAcentral lists this long non-coding RNA (286 nucleotides) under Musa acuminata (dwarf banana). Its description in RNAcentral is "long non-coding RNA (MACU_LNC009963)". The record is from RNAcentral. Lineage: Eukaryota; Viridiplantae; Streptophyta; Magnoliopsida; Zingiberales; Musaceae.